This 518-nucleotide long non-coding RNA is filed under the name Pan troglodytes (chimpanzee). Its description in RNAcentral is "lincRNA". The record is from RNAcentral. Lineage: Eukaryota; Metazoa; Chordata; Mammalia; Primates; Hominidae.
CUCGCCUGUCCCCCCGGAGGGACAGAGGGGCCGCGUGCGGCUGAGACCGUUGGGAACCACCUUUGCAAAAUUGUAACUGAGGAAAUUGUGAUGGUGAAAGAAAUCAGACCUAACCAACUCCAUCUUGCUUCUAACCUUUAAGCUGUCCUUGUUUAUAUCCUGGGCGGAAGCCCAACUAACCUUGGGAAGGAAUUCAGUCCAUGGUUUGACUCUGAAACAAAAUUGAUAAGAGCCUGUGAAUCCUGAAAAUGGAGGCAUGAGACAACAAUCCUUGGAUCAGCUCAGUGGAUCAGCUGACACCACCCACACCGAUAAUCUGCCUCAACCAGUUCUGCCAAACCAACCAGGAAGAGUAAAUAGCAAGAAAAACUCCAACAACCUCUGAUUCCAUCUUCAACCUGGCCAAUCAGCACUCCCCACUUCCCAAGCUCCUACCCGCCCAAUUGUCUUUAAAAACUCUGUUCCUCGAAUGCUCGGAGAGACUGAUUUGAGUAAUAAUAAAACUCCAGUCUCCCACA